This is a long non-coding RNA of Armigeres subalbatus, 1703 nucleotides long. RefSeq lists it as uncharacterized. The transcript has 4 exons. The record is from RefSeq and is a predicted model, not a curated record. NCBI's taxonomy places the organism in Eukaryota, Metazoa, Arthropoda, Insecta, Diptera, Culicidae.
UGGAGUUGUGUUGCGAAAUUAUUUUUACUGUUUAGUUUUUCUCUGAUGUAUUUAAUUCGUGAUUGUAAUAUUAAUUAUUAUUUGGUGAAAAUAACGUGCUUAAUUAGGUAAAAUUUUCCAUCAAAAUAGAUACGAAAAAUCCGAUUGUUUUUUCCUGGGUUUUUCGUUGAAAACGACGGUAAGCAUUCGCGGAUUUCGACGACGGGAAAGAACGGCCAAGAAAAAGCAUGCGGAUCCUGGAAGACAAUCGUCAAAAUGGAAGUGCCUGUGCCAACUCAAAUCCAGCGCAAAACUCUAUCCCGCUGAUAUGAAGAGCCGCGAUAUGGUUGCGAUGGCCAAAACAGGCUCGGGUAAAUCCUGUUUGUGAAACGUACGUACAAGUUCAAAAGCAGCUGGGAAAUUUGACGGAAUUAAAAACGAUCCUAGAACUUCAAGUUGAUUCAAUGGAUUUGCAGUUUGCGGCCAUUCGCAUGCUGCCGGAUCGGAACUGUCAGCGGUGUAGUACUCUGUGUUUGACGAAGGGGACUGCUUUUCGAGAUGGAUUUCAACGCGCAGCUCAAGAAGGUUGCCUGAGGCAAAAGAUUUUCCGCAAAACAUUUGAUCCUGUUCUGUGCAACGCUGCCAAAGCUGAUAGUCGACUUUCCGACGGCUGGUUUGAGCGAUGAAACGCUUAUCCGAAUAAACGUUGAGUCCGGAAGCGCUGGAUUUGAAACUCGUUUACUGUCGAUUGAAUGAUUUCCCACCCAUUAGUUUUUGCUCGCGAGAUGAUCCCGAAAAACGCCCAAACUGAGUUUACCAGGUCGCAGCAUCAUGUUGAAUUGAUUUCUCCGGCCGGACGGAACAGCCUGUAUGUUGUUUUCUUCUCGAUCGACCCAUAACCCAUGCCCUUCAAAUCGCUAUCAAGAACCAUUUUCACCCGUUUACAACUUUUAAUGCGCAGGAAAAGCCCGUAAUAUUCAAUUCUGGUUCGGUCAACAUCUACAUUUACGAACAAUUAUUGAAAAAUUUGGCUUGCUCCACCAGGCUCGAUGUGCCGGUUCUAAGAAAACGUUUUGCAUCUACUUAAAAAAAGGAUAGGAUGCCUUGGGACACCAAGAGGAUGUACCUAGAACCGUAACGUCGAUGUAUCGCCGUCAUGUAAGUCCUCUACGACAAUUCGUCCGUGUCGCAGUCUCUAGGGAAACAUUUGUCACUCGAUGGCGAGCAGAUUCGAGGGCACUAAUAAGAUCGUACUAUUUUGUUCCGGUGUGACAUCUACCAUUUCACUACGAUUUCUUGGCUGCGCCGGUGACUUCACGAAGGGGAAAGUAACACCGAAGAAGAGCAUCGCUUUCCGGCAUAAAGAAGAACGCAUAUGAGGAUGGUUACUACGGAUAACCACUUUUGAAGAAAAUAAAAAAUAACAUGUUUUAAAUGGAGAAAUAAAUCAUAUAAUUUAUUAUCAAUAGAAAGUAUUAGUUUCGCUACCAAGAAAGAAAACUCAAUUAUUUAUGAUUCAUUUAUGCCAUGUACAUCCUACUAUAAUACAUCACUUUUUUUUACAUCGCUUCGAUUACGUUGUCUGCUUAAUACGUCGGAAACAAAAUUACAUCGUUCCUGUUUAUUACGCAGAAUGUUCCCGAGUACAUCGUAUGAUGUAAUAUUCAACAACCGAUGGAUUCAGUGGGUUGCAGCUGUUUCGAUGUAAUAUUCAACAACUUUUU